RNAcentral lists this ribosomal RNA (407 nucleotides) under uncultured bacterium. RNAcentral's name for it is "partial 16S ribosomal RNA". It matches the Rfam family "Bacterial small subunit ribosomal RNA", at positions 28 to 526 of the family's 1533-position model. The record is from RNAcentral.
GACGAACGCUGGCGGCGUGCCUAAUACAUGCAAGUAGAAGCUAGUUGCGAACGGGUGAGUAACGCGUAGGAACCUGCCUCAUAGCGGGGGAUAACUACGCGAAAGCGUAGCUAAUACCGCAUACUAUUGGCGCGGCCGCUAUCGGAGUAGCUUGUUGGUGGGGUAACGGCUCACCAAGGCGACGAUCCGAAGCUGGUUUGAGAGGAAGACCAGCCACACGGGGACUGAGACACGGCCCAGACUCCUACGGGAGGCAGCAGUGGGGAAUUUUGGACAAUGGGGGAAACCCUGAUCCAGCCAUCCCGCGUGUGCGAUGAAGGCCUUCGGGUUGUAAAGCACUUUUGGCAGGAAAGCGGUACCUGCAGAAUAAGCACCGGCUAACUACGUGCCAGCAGCCGCGGUAAUUC